CAAACUAUAAUAUGAGAGGUAUGUUUGCUUCUUCUUCAUCUUCUUCUGCUGACCUCGAACAAGUUGAUUUUAUGGGAAAUGCGCCCAGGUAGCAGAAUAACCCGUACAGUAAUACAUAGAACUUAGGGUGGAGAAACCGUCCCAACUUCGGGUGGCGAAAUAACAACUCCCAGGGUCCACUAGGAUUUUAGUGGUUAUGCCAGCAGCAAU
RNAcentral lists this long non-coding RNA (210 nucleotides) under Ricinus communis (castor bean). Its description in RNAcentral is "long non-coding RNA (RCOM_LNC000830)". The record is from RNAcentral. Lineage: Eukaryota; Viridiplantae; Streptophyta; Magnoliopsida; Malpighiales; Euphorbiaceae.